Molecule: unclassified non-coding RNA, 520 nt
Filed under: uncultured Glomus
Lineage: Eukaryota; Fungi; Glomeromycota; Glomeromycetes; Glomerales; Glomeraceae
Description: SSU rRNA
Rfam family: Eukaryotic small subunit ribosomal RNA
Source: RNAcentral
AGCAGCCGCGGUAAUUCCAGCUCCAAUAGCGUAUAUUAAAGUUGUUGCAGUUAAAAAGCUCGUAGUUGAAUUUCGGGAUCAAGGAAUCGGUCAUGCCUCGGUAUGUACUGGUUUUAUUGGUUCUCACCUUCUAAAGAACCAUGAUGUCAUUCAUUUGAUGUUAUGGGGAAUUAGGACUGUUACCUUGAAAAAAUUUAGAGUGUUUAAAGCAGGCUUACGCUUGAAUACAUUAGCAUGGAAUAAUGAAAUAGGACAUCAGAUUCUAUUUUGUUGGUUUCUAGGAUCGAUGUAAUGAUUAAUAGGGAUAGUUGGGGGCAUUAGUAUUCAAUUGUCAGAGGUGAAAUUCUUGGAUUUAUUGAAGACUAACUACUGCGAAAGCAUUUGCCAAGGAUGUUUUCAUUAAUCAAGAACGAAAGUUAGGGGAUCGAAGACGAUCAGAUACCGUCGUAGUCUUAACCAUAAACUAUGCCGACUAGGGAUCGGAUGAUGUUAAUUUUUUUAAUGACUCAUUCGGCGCCUU